GGUUACUGCUAUCGGUGUUCGCCUAAGCCAUGCGAGUCAUAUGUUCGUAAGAACAUGGCGUACUGCUCAGUAACACGUGGAUAACCUGCCCUUGGGUCCGGCAUAACCCCGGGAAACUGGGGAUAAUUCCGGAUAACGCACAUAUGCUGGAAUGCUUUUUGCGUAAAAUGGAUUCGUCUGCCCAAGGAUGGGUCUGCGGCCUAUCAGGUAGUAGUGGGUGUAAUGUACCUACUAGCCUACGACGGGUACGGGUUGUGAGAGCAAGAGCCCGGAGAUGGAUUCUGAGACAUGAAUCCAGGCCCUACGGGGCGCAGCAGGCGCGAAAACUUUACAAUGCGGGAAACCGUGAUAAGGGGACACCGAGUGCCAGCAUCCUAUGCUGGCUGUCCGGGUGUGUAAAAUACACCUGUUAGCAAGGGCCGGGCAAGACCGGUGCCAGCCGCCGCGGUAACACCGGCGGCCCGAGUGGUGAUCGUGAUUAUUGGGUCUAAAGGGUCCGUAGCCGGUUUGGUCAGUCCUCCGGGAAAUCUGACAGCUCAACUGUUAGGCUAUCGGAGGAUACUGCCAGACUUGGAACCGGGAGAGGUAAGAGGUACUACAGGGGUAGGAGUGAAAUCUUGUAAUCCCUGUGGGACCACCUGUGGCGAAGGCGUCUUACCAGAACGGGUUCGACGGUGAGGGACGAAAGCUGGGGGCACGAACCGGAUUAGAUACCCGGGUAGUCCCAGCCGUAAACGAUGCUCGCUAGGUGUCAGGCAUGGCGCGACCGUGUCUGGUGCCGCAGGGAAGCCGUGAAGCGAGCCACCUGGGAAGUACGGCCGCAAGGCUGAAACUUAA
RNAcentral lists this ribosomal RNA (837 nucleotides) under uncultured archaeon. RNAcentral's name for it is "bacterial SSU rRNA". It matches the Rfam family "Archaeal small subunit ribosomal RNA", at positions 21 to 859 of the family's 1478-position model. The record is from RNAcentral.